GUCUCAGAACUACGGAAAGCCGAGAAGCCUAAAAGGAUUUACAUUCGCAAACGUUUGAAAGAGUAGCAGUAACAGUAACAGUAUCUUUUACUCUCACCCACAAUUAAUGGCAGUGGUGCAAUGUAAAUACCGGGGGCACAUGAAGAGGAGAGAGGGGAGGGAGGAGAGUGGUCUUUUAAAAACGGUUUCAGUGCACUAAUGUCCCUGAAACCUGAACCCUUAUUGGAUCUGAAGGGCAUUAUAAGACCGGCAUCCUCCACAGCCUCUGUCUUAAGGGAUUGCUUUCAUUCAGGGAAGGAGAGGCGAAAAAGCCUUCCAGCAGAGCCCACUCAGACUCAGCCCUUCUCCUUGUGUGCCUGUCCCCUUGUCUCUGCUGCCGGGGCUGAUUGACCAACCCUUCCGACAGACCGGCUGCCAGCUCGCCCAGACGGCUCUCUUGCACCCGUGCUUGUUACUGUGAUGUAGCCAAGCACAGCUAGCUGCCUUGUGGCCUCUGACGUUUGCAUGGAAAAGAGAUGAUGUGCUCAACCUUCCUGUUCUACAUCUGCGUUCAAGCUCUGGGGUCUUGACCCUCCUAAAAAAAAAGAAACACUCGAGGGUUCAGGUAGCCAACAGACUGGAUUUAACCUGGGCCAAGACCUGAGUCAGUCAUGGUGGGAUUAUCUCUUUCUUCACUUGAGGUGUGACAUUAUUUAUUUCACAGAGAAGCAGACGGGACAACAAACUCUUCUCUCCCCUGCCUGACUAAAGGAGACGAACAACCUCAGCCCUUUCAAACAGAAGUCUUUGGGAUCUGUCAUGACCAUCCACCUCCUGUUGUAUGCAGGGAACACAGCAACCUCUUCUGGACAAAAAGGAAAGUAGCAGAGAGUGUAAUGAAGCCAACAUAACAGAAGCAGUAAGAGCUACAAGGCCACCAGAUGCCAUCCCAGCCUAUUUGUCUUGUCCCUUUCACAGACAAACUAAUUGCUAAACAAAAGACUCAAAAAGGCCUAAACCUCAAGAACGGACAAAGCCAGAUGACAUGACAACACUGGGCUGCUGCAGUUUGGCUUCAGAUGAGCCCUGCACUCUCCCAUCCUCAGCCACCGCCACCACAGCCAAGAAAUGGUAACUCAUGCACAGACUUACCUGUGACUUUGAUUUUAAACGCACAAUUGAAGCAUUUAUUAAAACAAGCCUGGAUUCUUUAAGCAAUAUGAGUAAAGAUAAUGUUUAGACAGGUACAACUAUCAGACUAUCUGAUACUGACAUCAGUCAAUGAUAACAAUUUAAGUGCAUCAUGAAAUAAUAUCAACAUUACAGAGGAAAACAAAACAACCAAACAACUUAAGGUAGGAUAAAUUACACACUUAUAUGAACACUCUGACUGGGAUGUAAAAGAAUAAUUUUAUCGCCUCUAGAAAAUAUAUGAAGAAAUGCCAGUGUUGAAAAAUGUCAUCUUUAAAAGGCAAAUCUAAAUGUCAGAGAGACAGAUACUUUACACAUAGAGAGCACUGCCUUCUGGGCGUAACACAGAAAGGCGUGAGAAUAAUAUUUUUUCCCAGUUGAAAUGAACUGCAAUUACCCGGCAUCAAGCAUACAAAGCAGUACACUCACAUUCACACUCACAUAGCCUGGAGAGGAGCGUGGUCACUGUUCGCAACAUUACUCAGGAAAUCAGGAAAAAGAAAGCACAACAAAUGUCACAGGGAGAAAUAUAGACUUAACUAUGUUACAGUCUGCAAUAUGCUACUGAGAUGUAAUGAAUUUAUUGUCAGAAAUAGAGCUGAAACAAGUAGUCGAUUAAUGGAGUUAAUCGACAGAAAACUAUUCUCAUAACUGAUAAUCAAAAUCAAAAUCAGAAUCAGAAAUACUUUAUUGAUCCCGAAGGGAAACUCUUUGUUACAGCAGCUCGUCUUUACGUCAGUGCACACAGGAGAAAGUACUAGCAAAA
This is a long non-coding RNA of Siniperca chuatsi (mandarin fish), 1936 nucleotides long. RefSeq lists it as uncharacterized. The record is from RefSeq and is a predicted model, not a curated record. NCBI's taxonomy places the organism in Eukaryota, Metazoa, Chordata, Actinopteri, Centrarchiformes, Sinipercidae. The transcript is spliced from 9 exons.